Molecule: ribosomal RNA, 253 nt
Filed under: uncultured bacterium
Lineage: Bacteria
Description: partial 16S ribosomal RNA
Rfam family: Bacterial small subunit ribosomal RNA
Source: RNAcentral
UACGAAGGAUGCAAGCGUUAUCCGGAUUCAUUGGGUUUAAAGGGAGCGUAGGUGGCCUUAUAAGUCAGUGGUGAAAUCUCGCAGCUCAACUGCGAAAUUGCCAUUGAUACUGUAGGGCUUGAGUACAGUUGCUGUGGGCGGAAUAUGUCAUGUAGUGGUGAAAUACAUAGAGAUGUCAUAGAACACCGAUUGCGAAGGCAGCUCACAAAACUGUAACUGACACUGAGGCUCGAAAGUGCGGGGAUCAAACAGG